UGUUGAUGCUCUAAUGCCAAUUGAUACUAUUUCCCAGUCGGUUACCCAGUCGGUUUCCAAAGGAGGAUAAGAAGAGAAAAUAGCCGAGGCGUAGAACUCAUUCUACCGCUGCAUUGCUUCUGAUUUCUAAACGGAUAGCGGCUUUGGAAAGAUACGGAAACAGAGAAGAGGAGAGGAGAGGGACACAGCAAAGAGGAGAAAAGAGAGCGAGAGAGAGGGAAACAGCGAAGGGAGGAAGAAAGCAGAGCCGAGUGUGUUUACCACACCUGUGAUGCUGCGUUGUUUCUAGCAACCAAGACGCGCUGCGGGGAUACCAAUGUAAUGGCCAAGUUAAACCGGAGAAGUGCGAGCGGCUUAAAGCAGAGAAUGAUGCCGUUACACCUGACUCCCUUUGUCCGCGGGAGAUACAGCACGGCCACGUUGGUGAUGUCCUGCUGGCUGUUCCUCGCUGGAUUUACCUUCAUUGGGAGAAGACACGCUGCUGUUUGAUAUUGACAGAUGCGGA
This 505-nucleotide long non-coding RNA is filed under the name Salmo salar (Atlantic salmon). RNAcentral's name for it is "lncRNA (ENSSSAG00000104210.1)". The record is from RNAcentral. Lineage: Eukaryota; Metazoa; Chordata; Actinopteri; Salmoniformes; Salmonidae.